Molecule: ribosomal RNA, 496 nt
Filed under: uncultured bacterium
Lineage: Bacteria
Description: partial 16S ribosomal RNA
Rfam family: Bacterial small subunit ribosomal RNA
Source: RNAcentral
GAUGAACGCUGGCGGCGUGCCUAAUACAUGCAAGUCGAGCGAACAGACGAGGAGCUUGCUCCUCUGACGUUAGCGGCGGACGGGUGAGUAACACGUGGAUAACCUACCUAUAAGACUGGGAUAACUUCGGGAAACCGGAGCUAAUACCGGAUAAUAUAUUGAACCGCAUGGUUCAAUAGUGAAAGACGGUUUUGCUGUCACUUAUAGAUGGAUCCGCGCCGCAUUAGCUAGUUGGUAAGGUAACGGCUUACCAAGGCGACGAUGCGUAGCCGACCUGAGAGGGGGAUCGCCCACCCGGGAACUAGCCCCCGGUCCAGCCCCCUCCGGGGGGCAGCAGUAGGGAAUCUUCCGCAAUGGGCGAAAGCCUGCCGGAGCAACGCCGCGGGAGUAAUGAAGGUUUUCGGAUCUAAAAACCUUUUUUUUAGGGAAAAAAAAAUGUGUAAGUAACUAUGCCCGUUUUGACGGUCCCUAACAAAAAAGCCCCGGCUAACUACGU